GAUGAACGCUAGCGGGAGGCCUAAUACAUGCAAGUCGAACGGUAACAGGGUAGCAAUACCGCUGACGAGUGGCGCACGGGUGAGUAACACGUACACAAUCUGCCUUAUACUGGGGCAUACCCUCGGGAAACUGAGAAUAAUUCCCCAUAAUAUAUCAAAACGGCAUCGUUUUGAUAUUAAAACUCUGGUGGUAUAAGAUGAGUGUGCGUCUGAUUAGCUAGUCGGUAAGGUAACGGCUUACCAAGGCUACGAUCAGUAACUGGUCUGAGAGGAUGAUCAGUCACACGGACACUGAGACACGGGUCCGACUCCUACGGGAGGCAGCAGUAGGGAAUAUUGGACAAUGGAGGCAACUCUGAUCCAGCCAUCCCGCGUGAAGGAUUAAGGCCCUCUGGGUUGUAAACUUCUUUUCUCUGGGAAUAAAAACCGGUAUUCAUAUCGGCUUGAAGGUACCAGAGGAAUAAGCACCGGCUAACUCCGUG
Molecule: ribosomal RNA, 482 nt
Filed under: uncultured bacterium
Lineage: Bacteria
Description: bacterial SSU rRNA
Rfam family: Bacterial small subunit ribosomal RNA
Source: RNAcentral